AUGAACGCUGGCGGCGUGCUUAACACAUGCAAGUCGAACGAUGAAGCCCAGCUUGCUGGGUGGAUUAGUGGCGAACGGGUGAGUAACACGUGAGUAACCUGCCCUUAACUCUGGGAUAAGCCUGGGAAACUGGGUCUAAUACCGGAUAGGAGCGUCCACCGCAUGGUGGGUGUUGGAAAGAUUUAUCGGUUUUGGAUGGACUCGCGGCCUAUCAGCUUGUUGGUGAGGUAAUGGCUCACCAAGGCGACGACGGGGAGCCGGCCUGAGAGGGGGACCGGCCCCCCUGGGGCUGGGACCCGCCCCAGCCCCCCCCGGGGGGGAGGGGGGGGGAUUUUUGCAAAAGGGGCGCAAGCCUUAUGCCGCGACCCCGCGUGGGGGAUGGCGCCCUUCGGUUUGUAAACCUCUUUCAGUAGGGAAGAAGCGAAAGUGACGGUACCUGCAGAAGAAGCCCCGGCUAACUCCGU
This 464-nucleotide ribosomal RNA is filed under the name uncultured bacterium. RNAcentral's name for it is "partial 16S ribosomal RNA". It matches the Rfam family "Bacterial small subunit ribosomal RNA", at positions 29 to 506 of the family's 1533-position model. The record is from RNAcentral.